GACGAACGCUGGCGGCGUGCUUAACACAUGCAAGUCGAACGGAAAGGCCUGCUUUCCCUUGUGGAUUGCGGGUACUCGAGUGGCGAACGGGUGAGUAACACGUGAGUGAUCUGCCCCCAACUUGGGUAUAAGCCUGGGAAACUGGGUCUAAUUCCCGAUAGGACUGCAGGGUGGUGCCUGUGGUGGAAAACGAUUUUCUAGUGGUUGGGGAUGAGCUCGCGGCCUAUCAGCUUGUUGGUGGGGUAAUGGCCUACCAAGGCGGCGACGGGUAGCCGGCCUGGGAGGGUGGACGGCCACAUUGGGACUGAGAUACGGCCCAGACUCCUACGGGAGGCAGCAGUGGGGAAUAUUGCACAAUGGGCGGAAGCCUGAUGCAGCGACGCCGAGUGGGGGAUGACGGCCUUCGGGUUGUAAACUCCUUUCGACCGCGAGGAAGCCACCUGGUUGGAAGGGUGGUGACGGUAGUGGUAGAAGAAGCACCGGCUAACUACGUG
Molecule: ribosomal RNA, 494 nt
Filed under: uncultured bacterium
Lineage: Bacteria
Description: partial 16S ribosomal RNA
Rfam family: Bacterial small subunit ribosomal RNA
Source: RNAcentral